Molecule: long non-coding RNA, 686 nt
Organism: Dermochelys coriacea (leatherback sea turtle)
Lineage: Eukaryota; Metazoa; Chordata; Testudines; Dermochelyidae
Exons: 2
Source: RefSeq, a predicted model, not a curated record
CCCCUCAUACCCAGACCCUCCCGCCAAGCCUCACCCUCCACGCUCAGAACCACCACCCCCCUGCCACUGAGCCCAACACCUCCUGCACCUGGACCACCCUGAUGAGCCAUCUGCACCCGGAUCCCCAAGCUACCAAGCCCCAACAAGCUGCACUUGGAUCCCCACCCCACUAAGCCCCACUCCCCCGGUAUCUGGACUCCCCACUGAGCCCCCCCACACUGAGCCACCCCUGCCAAGCUCUAUUCCCCCCCCACCCAGACCCCCCAUCCGCUGAGCCCCAACCACUUUCACCUGGACCUGCAGAGUCCCAUUAUCGUUGCACCCAGAACCCCCCAACAAGCUCCAUGGGCAUCCAGAUCCAUCCCACAACCAGAUCCCUCCACUGAGCCACCCGCAUCCAGAUUGCCCCACACUGAACCCUCUCAACCCACACCUGGAUCCCUCCACUCUAUGCCCCUCCACACUUGGAUCCUGCCUUGCUGAGCCAGCCUGCCCACACUUGGUGCACCUGGCCCAGUUCUUGCACUGUGUCAGCAUCGGGUGCAGCCUCACCGCUGAGCCCAUAUUCUGGGGUGGGGAGCUGAACAUUGAUCUCUCAUCUCUGUGCAGCCAGUGGCCUAUGCUCCCCAAAGCCAUGCCAGAGCCUCCACAUAUAUUUGACAAAUAAAAUUUGCAGAAUUUUAAAA